ACACGAAUGGUCUAAUUGGCAGGAUAGCAGUCUCCAAAACUGUUGGUCUAGGUUCAAGUCCUAGUUCGUGUG
RNAcentral lists this transfer RNA (72 nucleotides) under Limosilactobacillus reuteri. RNAcentral's name for it is "Lactobacillus reuteri tRNA-Trp". It matches the Rfam family "tRNA". Rfam says of the family: Transfer RNA (tRNA) molecules are approximately 80 nucleotides in length. Their secondary structure includes four short double-helical elements and three loops (D, anti-codon, and T loops). Further hydrogen bonds mediate the characteristic L-shaped molecular structure. tRNAs have two regions of fundamental functional importance: the anti-codon, which is responsible for specific mRNA codon recognition, and the 3' end, to which the tRNAs corresponding amino acid is attached (by aminoacyl-tRNA synthetases). tRNAs cope with the degeneracy of the genetic code in two manners: having more than one tRNA (with a specific anti-codon) for a particular amino acid; and 'wobble' base-pairing, i.e. permitting non-standard base-pairing at the 3rd anti-codon position. Lineage: Bacteria; Bacillati; Bacillota; Bacilli; Lactobacillales; Lactobacillaceae. The record is from RNAcentral.